This 22-nucleotide microRNA is filed under the name Merkel cell polyomavirus. RNAcentral's name for it is "mcpv-miR-P1-3p". Its record names the gene mcpv-miR-P1-3p. Lineage: Floreoviria; Shotokuvirae; Cossaviricota; Papovaviricetes; Sepolyvirales; Polyomaviridae. RNAcentral also lists the same sequence under 1 other name. The record is from miRBase by way of RNAcentral.
UGUGCUGGAUUCUCUUCCUGAA